GAUGACAGGGCCAAACCCAUCGCGAGGUGGGGACGGAAAGCCACGGGUCUUUUACCAAAAGAUAGCCGGGUUGCCAGAA
Molecule: non-coding RNA, 79 nt
Filed under: Candidatus Vecturithrix granuli
Lineage: Bacteria; Candidatus Moduliflexota; Candidatus Vecturitrichia; Candidatus Vecturitrichales; Candidatus Vecturitrichaceae
Description: Bacterium UASB270 c-di-GMP sequence
Rfam family: c-di-GMP-I-GGC riboswitch aptamer
Source: Rfam by way of RNAcentral